GUCUAUGGCCAUGCCACCCUGAACAAGCCCAAUCCAGUCUGAUCUCGGAAGCUAAGCAGGGUCGGGCCUGGUUAGUACUUGGAUGGGAGACCACCUAGGAAGAUCAGGUGCUGUAGGCA
RNAcentral lists this ribosomal RNA (119 nucleotides) under Pteropus alecto (black flying fox). The record is from RNAcentral. Lineage: Eukaryota; Metazoa; Chordata; Mammalia; Chiroptera; Pteropodidae.